Molecule: unclassified non-coding RNA, 253 nt
Filed under: Arachnomyces sp.
Lineage: Eukaryota; Fungi; Ascomycota; Eurotiomycetes; Onygenales; Arachnomycetaceae
Also listed under: 1 other name
Description: partial contains 5.8S ribosomal RNA, internal transcribed spacer 2, and large subunit ribosomal RNA
Rfam family: 5.8S ribosomal RNA (bases 1-52)
Source: RNAcentral
AACGCACAUUGCGCCCCCUGGUAUUCCGGGGGGCAUGCCUGUCCGAGCGUCAUUACUGCCCUCAAGCGCGGCUUGUGUGUUGGGCCUUCGCCCCCCCCGGGGGCGUGCCCGAAAGGCAGUGGCGGCGCCGUGCCCGGUCCUCGAGCGUAUGGGGCUUUGUCACCCGCUCUGGAGGCCCGGCCGGCCGCCGCCGACCCGCCCAGACCUUUAACCGGUUGACCUCGGAUCAGGCAGGGAUACCCGCUGAACUUAA